This 1630-nucleotide long non-coding RNA is filed under the name Lepisosteus oculatus (spotted gar). RNAcentral describes it as "lncRNA (ENSLOCG00000021008.1)". The record is from RNAcentral. Lineage: Eukaryota; Metazoa; Chordata; Actinopteri; Semionotiformes; Lepisosteidae.
GAAUCUCCGCUACCUCCCUCAAUAGUUUUAACGCCUCUUCAGGCAGAACUAGGGACUGCGGGUCGGUGACGUGGCCGGGAGAGAAGGGGAACUGAGAACUGGGUCCACAGUAGCGCACGGCGUGACUUCGUCAGGGAACGCAGAAGGGGGCUGCGACGGGGAGGGAGAGGAUGAUUAAUGCCGUGUGUCAGCCCGCAUGAGCGCCGGCGCGGCCGAGGGAGCCGGGGAGCCCAGCCGGCACACCGCUGCCCCCAGCUGGCUGACGGAGGAACUGCAGAGCGCCGCGCACGCCGGACCGCAAACCACGACCUAGAGGCGAUCUCCACUGUGCACACCUGUGCUCGCCUCGGAACUAAUACCGGCCUGCCGCCUCAACCCUUUGCUGCUUCAAGAUAAUGUAUCUUUCUCACGGAGAAAGCAGAAGCUGAUUCCACUCUGAAAAGUAAAAAGCCAGCUCGGAUUGAGGAGCAAGAGGCACGAACAGGCCAGACCCGACGGAAGGGUUAAGAAAACAAACCGCCGUCAGGCCUGAGCAGGGCUGCAAGUCAAGCGCUCGGCUCCCGAGUCCUCAGCGCGGAGCGCCCUCCAGCGGACAGCGAGAGACACGCAGUCAAGACGCGGUUCAUCCUCCGACACACGAAGAGGCGGAGUUGGAGAAGCGUAAAAUGUUUAAUCCAUUAAAAGAAGAGCGUUACCCAACAGUUUUGACCCAAAGUUGUAAAACCUGCACACCACACUCGGUUGAAGUUUACUUAAGGUGAUUUCACCCGAAAGAUGAUAAAUAUGUUACAAUAUAAACGUGCAAGGCAGCCAUCAAGACUGGUACAAUAAUCUGUUCAAUUUCGCCGCGCUAAGGGCACGUUAUCAAAUGGCCCCAACAACACCAAGGCAAAUCUGUUUUUUCGAUUUCGAUUAAGGUCCGCCGACGUACAUUCACUCAAGAGAAGGUGGGAGGUUCUGAAAUGCAGGAGAUUCGACAGGAAGUGAAAAGGGAUGAACAUUGCUAUAGGAGUGGAAGCCGACCGGCGGAGACAGAGCUGGCGAUAUCCAGGCGUCAGCUGGCUGUACCAUCAGCGGCAGGCUCCUGGGGAGGGUUUUCUCUGGUUCCCCACUCUGUCUAGGGGGAGGACAGUCCCUCCCUAUCUGGGCCUUGGUGUAACAGUGAGCUCUAAGGAAGGCUUCAGGCUCGCCCACACUCCCCUGCCUGUGUACGCCCCUACUCCUGUGGCCACUCCCUUGGCAUUACCUUUUCCGACUGCUGCCUCCGCAACUGAGCCGUUUACCUGCGGGAACAACACAGAGGGGUCAGGAGACAGACAGACAGGCGCCGCCGGGUCGAGCCGGGCCCGGCGCGCUCGUCUUUGCCCCUGGGGGCGGCUGGCAGGCGGCGGCGGGAGGUCCGCCGUGCUCAACUCCAAUCUGCUCUCGUGACUCCACACAGCGGCGGUUCUGCUUCAUGGCUUGUCUGGAGUGAGGAUGGCCGCUGACAGGACACAGCAGACUGAGGGCUGUAGCAGUGACCCUCCUUCAUCCUGGCAGGCACAGGCCUAAUGUGCCAUGAUCAAAAACAUUCGCCUACUGUCUACAGGAUACUACAGCCCUGCGGACUGUGUCUACAGGAUACUACAGC